This is a long non-coding RNA of Maniola jurtina (meadow brown), 1193 nucleotides long. RefSeq lists it as uncharacterized. Lineage: Eukaryota; Metazoa; Arthropoda; Insecta; Lepidoptera; Nymphalidae. The transcript has 2 exons. The record is from RefSeq and is a predicted model, not a curated record.
CGUAGUUUUAUUGCUGGAAUACCUACUGGAAUAAAAGGCUUAAGCAUAAUAAAUAGGAGACUGAAACUCUUUAAACAAACCGAAGCAACUGAAUAGAACACUUGAUAAAAAGUAGAAAGUCUGCAUUGAGGCCAAGUUACGGCUAUGGAAGUUUCGUGAGCUGUUCUUCAUAGUUGUUCCGAAAAGAUAUUAUAUUAUCAUAUCUUGCUGAUUGGUGUAAACACGGGGUCACGUUAGAUUUAUCUUUCAACUGUGAAAGAUUAUACCAGUUGCAGUGGUAGAAGUAGUGACGAAACAGAAGUAGCAGUUGUGACAAGAUUAGCGAUGUAAUGAUGAGGUGCCUAGUAGAUGUCGUGCAAAGAAUAAUAUAAAUUCAAACAAAUAAUGUCCCAGGUGUGACAACUGACAACUGAGAGAGAAGAGUACUGGCUUAUGUAUGGACUUGUCCCAAGUGUGACAAGCAGUGGUUGCUAAGAAUAUUUGAUUGAAUAUACUUUGUCCCAAGUGUGUCAAAGAUAGUUUAUUUUAAAUGUCCCAGGUGUGACGCGGUAGGAUUUUGACCUGUGUCCCUAGUGUGACAUACGGCAGAUGGUAAUUUUGAGUAUGUCCCAAGUGUGACAUGCGGCGGAUGGAAAUUUUGAGUAUGUCCCAAGUGUGACAUACGGCAGAUGGAAAUUUUGAUUAUGUCCCAAGUGUGACAUACGGCAAGUGUAAAUUUUUGACUUUGUCCCAAGUGUGACAAACGAGGGCAGCGCGGUGAUUAAAAUAAAAACCUAAGAAUGAGGAAUCUAGAAUAUGAUUGGAACCAGCAAACGAACUGGAAAACGGCUGACAGAGCGGCUGGAAAAUGACGAACAAUAAUAGUCUGGUAAAACCUUAUUGGACAAUUUCGGUGCCAUGGCGGUGACAACCUAUGAUGUCUGAACAAUAAUUCGGACUUCUUGAAGAAUAGCGACGAUUGGUUGAACGUCAUGGACAAAAAGGCUGAAGUUGGCAUACGAGUAUAGUGGUCGAAGUUGAUGUAUCCUUUAAAGAAAAAAAAAGAGAUUUAAUAGAUAUUUUGAUUAUGAAUGAUAAUAAUAUCGCUUUCGAGUAAUAUACAUGUUCUUGUUUUGCCGGACCGUACUGAUUCAAUGUCAGCACAAGACCUAAUAAAAAAAUAAUAAAAAAAAUAUGUUAUGUAUACAUACAUA